CUGCCGACUUUUCUUUCACUUUCACUUAGAGCAAGAUGGCAGCCCGCGUCCCUGUGUGAAGCCGUCUGCAGCAGCUGCCAGAGCCCUGCUUGCUGUUUCCUUUCUCACCACCCACCUCACCCGGAAAUCCCCUGGUGAUUUCAAGACCUGACCUCUGCACCCUUUUGCUCCCCACCUGUCCCAAAAAAGUGGAGCUAUAACUGUGGGAAAAGGGGAUCUGAAGUCAGACACAGGAUCCACAGUAGCCUGGGGACCUUUCUCACCCCCGCCCUUAAGCAGGCCCCAACAUAACCGGCUGAGAAACCUCCUCUGCCAGAUCCUGACCUGAGCCAGGAGGCGGCCAGGAAACUGGAUUUUGGGACUGGGAUUUCAGAGAGGAAGCUGGAGAGCUGCAGGGUGGUCAUCUGUCACUUUAUUUUGCCCGUCUUGUAGCAUUCUCGAAAAGGCACUCUGUCACGUGUACACAGGAAAGGGCCCUGACAAGAGGAUGGGACUGCAGUUGUGGCUGCCAGAGUCUUGCUUUGUCGCCCAGGUUGGAGUGCAGUGGCACGAUCUCGGCUCAGUGCAACCUCCGCCUCCUGAGUUCAAGUGAUUCUCCUGCCUCAGCCUCCCUAGUAGCUGGGAUUACAGGACAAGGAGAGGGACAAAUUCCUUCUUGGCAUCCUUAUGGCCCUGUGACCUGCUAAUGAAUGCUGACUCUGAGUUGCUACUAGAAUUUGGUUUCCUUGUGGCUUCCCAGGAAUUGUGAGCCAUGUUGGAUAAGGACCUGCAAGGGAAGAAUGAGGAAGCCUGGGACAGUGCAGGAGGGGAGAGCACUGGUGGUAGAGAGGAGUGAUGACAAGGGUCUCCGCCAAAAGGGAAAUGGAGGGGUUAAAGAAGCUGCUGGGGAGGGUUAAAAACAAUGUGUUCUCACUCGUAGGUGGGAAUUGAACAAUGAGAACACUUGGACACAGGAAGGGGAACAUCACACACUGGGGCCUGUCGUGGGGUGUGGGGAGGGAGGAGGGAUAGCAUUAGGAGAUAUACCUAAUGUAAAUGAUGAGUUAAUGGGUGCAGCACACCAACAUGGCACAUGUAUACCUAUGUAACAAACCUGCACAUUGUGUACAUGUACCCUAGAACUUAAAGUAUAAUUAAAAAACAAAACAAAACAAAACAAAAACAAUGAGGUGCUAUUGUUUUAGUGGUGAGUAUCCGGAGACCUGGGAGUUCUAUUUACCAGGUAUAACCUGGGCUCAAAAUUCCAGGCUGACUUCAGGCAUGUCCUCAUCUCAUAGAUGCCAGCACUAAGGCCCAGAGAGGGCCGAGCUCAUUCAGCCCACCCAUCUUCUCACCCCUGACUGCAUUUCCCGGGGGUCCUUCUGCAGCCAGGUGCUGCUGUGGUACUUUGGGAUCUAUUGGCUGAGCUCCCAGAGAAGGGUCAUGGAUUGGGCUAGUUUGGAACAAGUGAAGGGACUGAAGAUGGGCUCAGUAUGGGGCGAAGACCUUCAGGAAGGGUCUGCAGAGUGAGUAGGGGGGUUUUGACUAGGAAAAGUUCCAACCCUGCCGGGGCCGCUGUCAAGAGAAAAGCAUCUAUUACAGUUACAUUUUUAAGUUAAGUAGACUGAAGAAUAUUUCUUGUGUAUUAAAGACGUUCCUUUUUGGUUGAUUUGCAAUGGAAAAGCUUUUGUUUUCUUUUUUUUUUUGGAAACAGGGUCUCACUCUGCUCACUCUGUCUCCCAAGCUGGAGUGCAGUGGUACAGUCACGGCUCACUGCAGCCUCCACUUCCUGGACUCAAGUGAUCUUCUCACUUCAGCCUUCUGAGUAGCUGGGACUACAGCCCCCUCUGCAGCUCUUCAUGGGGGUCCACUCAAGUCAGAAGCCACAUUUGGGUGUGAUUCAGAGAGCUGUUUAUGCAAAACCAGCUUUGUCACCAUCAGGCAAGGCACCUGAAUUCCCACCGCAGAGAGUGUUGUGGCCGUGAGGACUUUUCUGUCACCAGCCAUUUCCAGGUAGACCCAGUGUAAUCACAAGCAUCCUUGUAAGUGGCAAAGAGGCAGAGGAGACAGCGCCAGAGAGGCAGCUGCAUGAGAAGGAUCAAGAUGUUGCUGACUUUGAAGUUGGAAGAAGAAGGCCAUGAGCCUCAGUAUGUGGGCGGCUUCUAGAAGCUGGAAGGGGCAAGGAGAUGGAUUUGACCCUUCAGCCUCCAGGGGCAGCUGUACCUGCCAUCACUGAUUGUAGCCUGGUGAGGCCUGUUUUAGACUUCUGACCUGUAGAGCUGUAACAUAAUACAUUUGGGUUGUUUUCAACCACUAAGUUUGUGGUAAUUUGUUGUAGCAGCUGUAGAAAAUGAAUACAUAUGAAUCCUCUGGCAUUUGUUUGAGAUUUGCUCUAUGGCCUAGUAUGUGGUUGUAAAUGUUCCAUCUGUGCCUGAAAAAAUGUAUAUUUCUAAUUCAGUAGUCUCUGCUUUUUUUUUUUAUUUUGUACCCCAUCAAUAAAAUGAUUUUCAGCAUGUAUCCCCAAAUAAACAAUAUUUUAUUUAUUGAUUGAUUGAUAAACAGACAUGUUUAAUGAUAGCUUGCUUUUCACAGAGGUGACUUCGGAGACUUCUAAUCUAUAAUCCAGGAGUAUAUAACCAUG
This 2620-nucleotide long non-coding RNA is filed under the name Homo sapiens (human). RNAcentral describes it as "HSALNT0184820". The record is from RNAcentral. Lineage: Eukaryota; Metazoa; Chordata; Mammalia; Primates; Hominidae.